UACGUAGGGGGCGAGCGUUGUCCGAAGUUACUGGGCGUAAAGCGCGCGUAGGCGGCCCUGUAAGUCCGCUGUGAAAGUCAAAGGCUCAACCUUUGAAAGCCGGUGGAUACUGCAGGGCUAGAGUCCGGAAGAGGCGAGUGGAAUUCCUGGUGUAGCGGUGGAAUGCGCAGAUAUCAGGAGGAACACCGGUGGCGAAGGCGGUUCUCUGGGCAUGACCUGACGCUGAGGAGCGAAAGUGUGGGGAGCGAACAGG
Molecule: ribosomal RNA, 253 nt
Filed under: uncultured bacterium
Lineage: Bacteria
Description: partial 16S ribosomal RNA
Rfam family: Bacterial small subunit ribosomal RNA
Source: RNAcentral